UACUCAGAUAUCAAUGUUUGUGAUACCGUUUUGCGUUGUUGUUGGUUGGUUUAUGGGAAAGCCCAUGGACUUGAAUUUUCAAUUAUUCGAGACCGCUACACUCUUCAUCACAGUGCUAGUCGUGGCAUUCAUGUUGCAGGAAGGCACAUCAAACUAUUUUAAAGGGUUGAUGCUGAUCCUAUGCUAUCUGAUUGUUGCUGCAAGUUUUUUUGUACACGUUGAUCCAUCCAAUGAUGCAGAGUAAGCAGCCAUGGUUUUACCCAUGCCUCGGCCAAAUGAGCACCUCGACUCCUGGCAAUGUAAUGAACAUCAUUGAGGCUGGCCAGCUGCUCUACCCAAAUGAUGAUUGGAUUGGAGGAAUGAAGGGACUUGCUUGUUACAACGAUAUGUUCAGAGUAGUUCGGUAUUGACUUCUUGAAUGUUUAUCCAUGUUGUAUCAUUUUUCUCUAGCAGACAAACAAUUCCAAUUAUUCCCAGCAAUGCAAGAAAGCUGGUUUUAGUCUUCCACUUGGAGAAAAAAAAAAUAGAAGGGGUGAAGGUAUAAAUCUCAUAUAAUUAUUCUUUUCUUUCUUUCUUCAAAUUGUUGUUCCAAAUGUUAGUGUUACGAGAUGUAACAAUUGUAAAAAAGAAAAAAUCUAUAGAAAUCCAAGAUGUCUCUGCUUGA
RNAcentral lists this unclassified non-coding RNA (664 nucleotides) under Hevea brasiliensis (rubber tree). The record is from RNAcentral. Lineage: Eukaryota; Viridiplantae; Streptophyta; Magnoliopsida; Malpighiales; Euphorbiaceae.